RNAcentral lists this long non-coding RNA (4594 nucleotides) under Marmota monax (woodchuck). The record is from RNAcentral. Lineage: Eukaryota; Metazoa; Chordata; Mammalia; Rodentia; Sciuridae.
UCACUAAUGCUCUUUCUGAACAACAUUUUAAAAAUAUUUAGAAUAAAUUGGAAUAGCAGAUAUUUCUUUUUCCACUGGAGUCAGUCUUUAUCAGGAUAAUAUAUUACUGUUUCCAUUUUCCUCCUUAUUGAUAAUGUUGUCAUGAACAAAGAACAUCUGAAGUCCAAUGUGUCAAAUUCCCAGUGCUUCAUAUUUAGUAUAUUAAAGAUAGAGGAUUGUGUUCCUUUGACACUCAUUAAUUAUAUGCAGUUUGGAUGACAUUUACAUUCUAGUUGAUUACAUAUUAUAAAACCUGACACUUUUAAAGCUCUAGAUGAUAAAAAUAUAUACUUGAAUAUUAAUUUGGGCUCUUGCCAAAUUACAUUGUACAACUGUGAUUUUUCUACAGUAUUUUGGGCCUUGGGCAAUAGCAACAUGGAUAUAAAUAUUUAAAAUGUUUAAUGAAUGUCUUUACUGAGUACUGCCAUGAUGAAUGUGUGAUAUAUUUAUCUUACAUACAUUUUAGGCCAUUAAUGCAAGUUAUUAAAGUCUUAGUUUAGCCUGGAUACCAUCUGCAGUAUGUGCCAGAAAGAUUAGUGUCAGAGUAGUUCCUAAGUCAUACAAGUUUUAUUUAACUAGCUCUCUGAAUAUUUAUUAGAAAAGGACACUUGUAAAUAUUGACAUUUUUAAAACAAAUUCAGUUAAGAUGAAUCAUAUUUAGGGAAAACUGUUUGAAGUGCAUAGGACUUAUUUUAGAUUACAAAUAUUCCACACUGGAAUCCUGAAUAAAUCAAUGUGAGAUGUGAGCCGCAUAUAAUUUUUACAAGUUCAUUUAAGUACUUAUGUUUUUAGUAUUGAGCCUAUAGUGUCUUUGAUUCAAAUGCAGAAUUCUGUCUUUGCCUGAUGAUUGUACCGGUAGCUCUUUCUUCUCUUCCCUCCUCUUUUUCCUUCUUCCUCUUUCCCUUUCCCUUCUUUUUUCUUUCAGUGAUAGUUGCUGAAGUGAUUUUAAUUGUACUCUAAAAGUCUCUGUGAUGCCUUAAUUGAAUACUUCAUAGUUAAUUUUUACCCCUUUUCCCACUAAAAAGGGCUCUAUAUAGUAAAUUCUUAAAGGAAACAUAAUUUCCCUGAUUUAUCAUAUUUUAAUAUCAAUAAAUAACUCAGCAUACCAAUAUUAACAAUAUGAAUAGAUGGAAUAUGCCAAAAAAUCUCAAAUUUGUAGUUCUUUAUAAAUAUUUUUCACUCCCAUUCUCUCACUUCAUCUUUUUGAUAAUCAAAUAAAGUGUGCAGUGGAAACAUCUUAAUAUAUCUUUUGUAGACUCCUAAGUGAGAAACAGUGGUUUUCUGGCAUAUUUCAAAUUUUUGUCUAGUGAGUAACAGAAUCUGAUCUUGAAUGGGCAUCUUGUUGAUUUCCCCACCCUUGCUACCUGUACUAGAUAAUUCUUCUUUUUCUGAGGAUUCACUCAUCCUCAUUUUCCCCGCUAUGGAUAAUCCUCCCACUGUUUUUCUGAACUGCUCCUAUUGCCACUUCAACAUUUCAGUUCUCAUUUGAAAUUCCCAUCUUCAUGGGGCACCAUCUUAAUUAAUGGCCAAUAUUAAUUCUCCCACAAGUGACUAUCAAUCCAAAUCUAGCAGUCAAGGGUCCUUCCUCAUGACUUCUCACAAUGCACUAAGAAAGUGUCACUCCUUUAUGAAUGGCUACUUUGGGAUGUAAGAAAUGAGAAUUUUCUCUAGUCAUUUUUCCCAUUAAGAAGCCAGUCUACAAUGACAGAUAAUGUUGAUAUUCAAUGAAAAUGGUGUAAAAGACAGAGAGCAUGUUAGACCUGAUUCAUCUCCUGAUUCCAAUUACUCCUGAGUCACAGCUGUAUUCCUGCAUGUCUUACUAUUAGAUGAUUCAAUCUUAUGGGAAAUAUUCAAAGUUACUCAAUAAGCUCUCAAUAAAUUUAACUUUUGGCUAUAACAUUUUCCAGUUAGAUUAUUAACUGUUUAAACAAAAAAUGCAUUGACUAAUUUGCUACGUAGAAUGAAUUAUUAGUUUUUAGAAUAUCACUUAAUUUAUUGUCUCUGUGUCUGUAUUUUUAAAAUAUUAUUUUUGUUGAUUAAUCUUAGGCUAACAAUGUGCAUCCUUUGCAUAUCAGAUUCUAAUUACAUUUAAUUUAUACUUUAUACACUUUCAACCUGAUAUUUCACACUUCACAGUAUCAUGCUCUUCAUUACCUGCCCCAUCUGUUACAGAACUAUUGUUAUAACUUUCAUUUUUACAUAUAUUAUCAAUCCCACUUUUUGAUGUUGCCAUGGUUGGCAGCUGUUUCCUUAUGCAAUGUAAAGUUGGGCUAAUAGGUAACUUCGAAAUCUAUAUUUUCAUUUGCUAGAUGGACAAAAUAAUUGAAUUGCCUGGAUGAUGUACCCAUGAUUGAUUGAUUUUGGUGUUUUGGUAUUUUGACUUGUGGCCCUUUAGGUUUCCAGAACCUUUACAACUGAGCUAAAGUAAAUGCUGUUGGAAUAACAAAACUAGAGGACUGUACCUGCUUGUAAACUAAUGAGCAUAAUUAUAUUGUCUGAUUCUUCUCUUUGUCCAAAUUCUGGCCUUUGGGUGAUUUCUCAAUAUUGACAGGAAAAGGAAUAGAGUGGUUCUAUAGCCAAUAUGAGAGGAGCAGAGACUGCUCUGUCUGCAGUUAAUAAUGAAUCUAAAAUCUUUGUAACUUUCCAAUAUAUAUCUUAUUUCAGUGAAAAGAUUUAUGAUUGCUACUCUGACUCUCAAUACAACAAAAUGGGGAAAUAUGUUGAACUACAGAAUCCAGAAACAAGUUUCCUUGGAGCCAGAUGAGGAUUAAAAGACCCACAUUUGAUGAAGAUAUUUUAAAUACCCUCUGUUAAAGUCAAUGUUCCUCACUAAUCCAUAAUAACUCUGUAAUGAAACAUCUUGUUUCUCCACAAGGUCAUUAUCAUAACCUUUAUCAUUUUGCAUAAUGUCUAUUUAGUUUAUGUCCCACCUAAAUGAUCACAGAACUCUUAAGGUUGAUAACAAUGCCAUUUUUAUUAUAAGCUCAGAAUUUAUCAUGCUGUUUAGUAAGUAGUGAACAGUAAAGAUUUGCUGAAUGUUUAGCCAAAGUCAACUCACUAGAACAUUAGAACCAGACCUAGAUUUUAUCAUGUGACUCUAGAUUCAGAGCUCUUUCCAAAAACAACCUCCUAAUUGGAUCUGUUAAAAGUGAGAUAAAAGGAAAUAAAGAUUUAGUUCAUCAAGAAUUUUCUGUUUGUAUUUAUGUGUUCAGUUUUAAGUACUUUUAUCGUGAUGUGCACAUGAGAUGUUCUGAAUAAUAUUUCUAAUUAAAUACUUUAGAGUAAAUAGAUAUCUUGAUUUCCAUUUCCCUUGGACUUUACCAGUAACCAGUAUGAUGAAAGCCAAGUUAAUUGUCUUGUCUAACUAAGUAGAUGGAUUUCCUGCAGAUGAGCAUUAAUGAAAAAAUACUACAUCUUUUUUUCCUGUUUAUAAACAUAAAGGAGAAGGUCUUCCCCUUCCUUUCCCUGAAAGAAUCUCUUCCUUGAUUAGCACUUUUAUAUGAAAUGAAAUUUCUUCAGGAGUCCUAUAGCCCUAUAGCCAGAAGAGUCUGGGUUUUUAGGAUACAGGUGACUUAUCCUCUUUGAAAGGUUAACCCCAAGCCAUAAGCUCUUCUAGUUCUCUGGACACAUUGUGGGUUUUACCAAUGAUCCUGUUCCCAGGCUGUAACCAUUUGCCUUGUUGGGAAGAGACAAGUUCUGUUAUAACUUAUCAGAGCAGUUAGCUAGACAAAUGGCUCUAGAUCUAAUUCUUCUGAUAAGUCAAGAGUCUUAGAAAAUCUAGAUUUGUUUGUUUGUUUAAUAAGAACUCAGAUGAAUACAGGAGAGCUUUGUUUUCCCUGAAAAGUAAAAGCUUCUUUGGAGGAGAUGGAGUACAAUGAAAAAGGGAAAGAAGAAAGAAAAGAGGGGAAAAAACAGGAAUAAGAUCAGAGAAAGAGAAAGAAAGGGAGGGAGAAGAGAAAGAAGAAAACAAAUACCAUAUGGUGACUGACUUGCUUAAUAUUGUUUUAACUAGUCAGAAAAGCAAAGAUUGUUAAAAACAAUUCUAACAGAGUACAGUUGAUAUGGAAACCCAAGUCUUCUCAUGUCCAAGAUUCAAUGGCUCAGAAUUCUCUCAAGAGAGAUGUUGCUUUGUGAUACCUUUUAUGAAAGCAUUUCUCUUAUUUAUUGGAUGGAUAUGGUAUAAUCAGAAAAAAAAUAAUCUAGAAAAAAAUUGUUUUUCUAAGUCUAGAGAUUAUAUUUUCAUUUUUUAAUGACUGUUCAGAAGGGAAAUUAGUUAUUGGUUACUAAUUUAAGAAAACUGUGGUUAUUAUUAAUAAUAUCCAUAUAAACACCUAGAAUAAAAUUAUAUUUUACAACAUUCAUUUUGGGAUAAUUUCACACCCUGUUUAUAAGAUAUGUUCAUAUUUUAUUGAAUAAUUAUAAAAUUGUCUGGAGAAGGUAAAACCUGAGCAAACCAUUCAGAUUUAUGAUUAUGAUUACUUUAGGACAAUAUUCUACCUCAUUUUUUAUUUGACAGAGAAAUUAACAUAAAAAACGGAUUUUCAGUCAAGGUCAC